AGAGUUUGAUCAUGGCUCAGAUUGAACGCUGGCGGCAUGCCUUACACAUGCAAGUCGAACGGCAGCACGGGUGCUUGCACCUGGUGGCGAGUGGCGAACGGGUGAGUAAUACAUCGGAACAUGUCCAGUAGUGGGGGGAUAGCCCGGCGAAAGCCGGAUUAAUACCGCAUACGAUCUACGGAUGAAAGCGGGGGAUCGCAAGACCUCGCGCUAUUGGGGUGGCCGAUGGCGGAUUAGCUAGUUGGUGGGGUAAAGGCCUACCAAGGCGACGAUCCGUAGCUGGUCUGAGAGGACGACCAGCCACACUGGGACUGAGACACGGCCCAGACUCCUACGGGAGGCAGCAGUGGGGAAUUUUGGACAAUGGGCGAAAGCCUGAUCCAGCAAUGCCGCGUGUGUGAAGAAGGCCUUCGGGUUGUAAAGCACUUUUGUCCGGAAAGAAAUCCUUUUCGAUAAUACCGAGAGGGGAUGACGGUACCGGAAGAAUAAGCACCGGCUAACUACGUGCCAGCAGCCGCGGUAAUACGUAGGGUGCAAGCGUUAAUCGGAAUUACUGGGCGUAAAGCGUGCGCAGGCGGUGAUGCAAGACCGAUGUGAAAUCCCCGGGCUUAACCUGGGAACUGCAUUGGUGACUGCAUCGCUAGAGUAUGGCAGAGGGGGGUAGAAUUCCCGUGUAGCAGUGAAAUGCGUAGAGAUGUGGAGGAAUACCGAUGGCGAAGGCAGCCCCCUGGGUCAAUACUGACGCUCAUGCACGAAAGCGUGGGGAGCAAACAGGAUUAGAUACCCCAGUAGUCC
Molecule: ribosomal RNA, 795 nt
Filed under: uncultured bacterium
Lineage: Bacteria
Description: bacterial SSU rRNA
Rfam family: Bacterial small subunit ribosomal RNA
Source: RNAcentral